Molecule: ribosomal RNA, 253 nt
Filed under: uncultured bacterium
Lineage: Bacteria
Description: partial 16S ribosomal RNA
Rfam family: Bacterial small subunit ribosomal RNA
Source: RNAcentral
UACGGGGGGGGCAAGCGUUGUCCGGAUUUAUUGGGCGUAAAGAGCGUGUAGGCGGCCAGACAGGUCAGCUGUGAAAACUCGAGGCUCAACCUCGAGACGUCGGUUGAAACCAUCUAACUAGAGUCCGGAAGAGGAGAGUGGAAUUCCUGGUGUAGCGGUGAAAUGCGCAGAUAUCGGGAGGAACACCAGUGGCGAAGGCGAGUCUCUGGGAUGAUGCUGACGCUGAGGCGCGAAAGCCAGGGGAGCAAACGGG